UACGGAGGGUGCGAGCGUUAAUCGGAAUUACUGGGCGUAAAGCGUGCAUAGGUGGUUGGAUAAGUUAUCUGUGAAAUCCCUGGGCUUAACCUGGGCAGGUCAGAUGAUACUGUUUGACUCGAGUAUGGGAGAGGGUAGUGGAAUUUCCGGUGUAGCGGUGAAAUGCGUAGAGAUCGGAAGGAACACCAGUGGCGAAGGCGGCUACCUGGCCUAAUACUGACACUGAGGCACGAAAGCGUGGGGAGCAAACAGG
RNAcentral lists this ribosomal RNA (253 nucleotides) under uncultured bacterium. RNAcentral describes it as "partial 16S ribosomal RNA". It matches the Rfam family "Bacterial small subunit ribosomal RNA", at positions 524 to 776 of the family's 1533-position model. The record is from RNAcentral.